AGCAGACACUUUUUUUUUUCAUCUUUCAAAAGCAAAUGCUGCUAUGGAUUGUGAAUACUAGACUACACCAGAUUGUAUCCUAGCUUAGAUGAACGUUGUCAUGAGUAUCAGUACUUGGAGUAUUAGUGGCUACCUUAAAUUCCAUUUUGGAAAUGAAAAGAACACCGAUGGCAGAUAUUCACUGAGGGAAUGCUUGGAUCCAGUUGCAAGGAAGUGAAAAGGUCCCUCUCACUAAAAUGCCUGAAAUGAUUGUGUGAAGACUUGUCAGAGUCCUUUUCUGAGUGCAGAUAACAAGGCUGGUGUCCGAAUACCUCUGUCUUCAAAGGCGAGGAGUUUAAGCACAAGAAAAUUCUAAACAUGAUAAGACAUGUUUAGAACAUGAAGACACUUAAGCAACAUUAAAUACCGCAGACAGAGCUAUACGUCUGUGUUGGUUUGGACUGGAGUAGUCAAUUUUCUUCACAGUUCAUUUUCUUCUCCUGGAGAAGAAGUGAAUGCCUGUGGAAACAAGGAAUUAAUUGGUUUGCUUUACUUGUGUACGUGGCUUUUGGUCUUCCCAUUAAACCGUCCUUAUCUCA
Molecule: long non-coding RNA, 578 nt
Organism: Pipra filicauda (Wire-tailed manakin)
Lineage: Eukaryota; Metazoa; Chordata; Aves; Passeriformes; Pipridae
Exons: 3
Source: RefSeq, a predicted model, not a curated record